Homo sapiens (human) is the source of this 1204-nucleotide long non-coding RNA. RefSeq lists it as uncharacterized. The record is from RefSeq and is a predicted model, not a curated record. The transcript has 3 exons. NCBI's taxonomy places the organism in Eukaryota, Metazoa, Chordata, Mammalia, Primates, Hominidae.
CGUAUUUAAAGGGGACGCAGCCUGCCUGACUGCCAGGAGCCAAGCGCGAGUCGGCCCAGCCAAAGCGCAUGCGCGAGGCGCGCGCCGCUUUUUGCUUCACAGUGCUUCCCACGGUUGUCUUAGGAACCAGUCCCCGAGGCUUGGCAACGCGGGAGCCCUCCGUGGCAGCGCUUGGGUGUCGGGCCUCCGAGGCUCCGGCCUGACCUCUCCACGGGGUCCACAGGAACGUCUCCGGCUGCCAGGAGUCGCAAGGGGCCGAGCAGGAUGAGGAAACCACAGGCGGAGUCCGGGGGAAGCAGCGUGGCAUCCCAGCCUCAGGGCUGUCAGGACGGUGUUCGGGAACGUCUCCGGCUGCCAGGAGUCACAAGGGGCCGAGCAGGAUGAGGAAACCACAGGCGGAGUCCGGGGGAAGCAGCGUGGCAUCCCAGCCUCAGGGCUGUCAGGACGGUGUUCGGGAUCGAGAGGACCACACUGCAGCCCAGGACAAAAGCCCCACGGUAGCACAUUGUCCGGCAGGAGAGGAGCAGACCCACGUCCAAGAAGAUGGUUUUACCUUUCCACGCCCCUUCUCUGCGAAAUGAAGCCACACCACCACACAGUCUUGAAGAGGAAGCCUGGAAUGGGAGACGGCAACAAGCCCCGUCCCUGGAACGCUGGCCUCUCUGGACAAGCCACCCGCUUCGCACCCCUCCUCUUAUGCCCGUGGCGGUGGCACGGCGCUGUAUCCUGCCUGGGCUAUGGCCUCUGCUCUGUCGUCCCUCUUGCUCUGUCUCCCCUGUUUCUGAGCGGCCUAGAUGCCUCUCGGUCUGGCUGAAUAUCUUCUACGAAGAUCACGUCCCCGUCCAUCAGGGAGACACUUCCUGGAGAUCCGUGUCAUGACUGUUUCUCUCUCCAAGCCUGUUUCUGCUGGAUUGCGCAGGUCUGAUGACCCUGGGGCUCUUGGCUUCCAUACGUGUCUCAGACAGGGAAGCUUCCUCGGUCUCCGUGUUUCACCUCAUGGGUGGGUGGAUUGCCUAGGAUGAGCGAGCGCUAGGCCGGCGAGACUGGCCUUGUCUUCUAGGACAAGUGCAUUUCCCCUGCGCUUCCUGUCUCACUCUUGAGGGACAUCCUCUCCUCCGCUCACAGGUGGACAGACUCCCUGGAUCUUUUGGCUGUAACGAAUGUCAGGAAACAAAGGGACUGCGCUGGGACUGGGGCUGGGGCU